ACGAACGCUGGCGGCGUGCUUAACACAUGCAAGUCGAACGGAAAGGCCCUGCUUGCAGGGUACUCGAGUGGCGAACGGGUGAGUAACACGUGGGUGAUCUGCCCUGCACUUCGGGAUAAGCCUGGGAAACUGGGUCUAAUACCGGAUAGGAGCCAUUUUUAGUGUGAUGGUUGGAAAGUUUUUUCGGUGUAGGAUGAGCUCGCGGCCUAUCAGCUUGUUGGUGGGGUAAUGGCCUACCAAGGCGGCGACGGGUAGCCGGCCUGAGAGGGUGGACGGCCACAUUGGGACUGAGAUACGGCCCAGACUCCUACGGGAGGCAGCAGUGGGGAAUAUUGCACAAUGGGCGCAAGCCUGAUGCAGCGACGCCGCGUGGGGGAUGACGGCCUUCGGGUUGUAAACUCCUUUCGCUAGGGACGAAGCUUUUGUGACGGUACCUAGAGAAGAAGCACCGGCUAACUACGUG
RNAcentral lists this ribosomal RNA (463 nucleotides) under uncultured bacterium. RNAcentral's name for it is "partial 16S ribosomal RNA". It matches the Rfam family "Bacterial small subunit ribosomal RNA", at positions 29 to 507 of the family's 1533-position model. The record is from RNAcentral.